UCCCUGACAGUCCAGUGGUUAAGACUCCACACUCCCAAUGCAGGUGGCACAGGUUUGAUCCCUGGUCAGGGAA
This 73-nucleotide transfer RNA is filed under the name Bos taurus (domestic cattle). It matches the Rfam family "tRNA". From Rfam's summary of the family: Transfer RNA (tRNA) molecules are approximately 80 nucleotides in length. Their secondary structure includes four short double-helical elements and three loops (D, anti-codon, and T loops). RNAcentral also lists the same sequence under 4 other names. The record is from Rfam by way of RNAcentral. Lineage: Eukaryota; Metazoa; Chordata; Mammalia; Artiodactyla; Bovidae.